This 2799-nucleotide ribosomal RNA is filed under the name Salmonella enterica subsp. enterica serovar Enteritidis. RNAcentral describes it as "partial 23S ribosomal RNA". It matches the Rfam family "Bacterial large subunit ribosomal RNA". Lineage: Bacteria; Pseudomonadati; Pseudomonadota; Gammaproteobacteria; Enterobacterales; Enterobacteriaceae. The record is from RNAcentral.
AAUGGGGAAACCCAGUGUGACUCGUCACACUAUCAUUAACUGAAUCCAUAGGUUAAUGAGGCGAACCGGGGGAACUGAAACAUCUAAGUACCCCGAGGAAAAGAAAUCAACCGAGAUUCCCCCAGUAGCGGCGAGCGAACGGGGAGGAGCCCAGAGCCUGAAUCAGCAUGUGUGUUAGUGGAAGCGUCUGGAAAGGCGCGCGAUACAGGGUGACAGCCCCGUACACAAAAGCGCAUGUGCUGUGAGCUCGAUGAGUAGGGCGGGACACGUGGUAUCCUGUCUGAAUAUGGGGGGACCAUCCUCCAAGGCUAAAUACUCCUGACUGACCGAUAGUGAACCAGUACCGUGAGGGAAAGGCGAAAAGAACCCCGGCGAGGGGAGUGAAAAAGAACCUGAAACCGUGUACGUACAAGCAGUGGGAGCACCCUUUGGGUGUGACUGCGUACCUUUUGUAUAAUGGGUCAGCGACUUAUAUUCUGUAGCAAGGUUAACCGAAUAGGGGAGCCGGAGGGAAACCGAGUCUUAAUUGGGCGUUAAGUUGCAGGGUAUAGACCCGAAACCCGGUGAUCUAGCCAUGGGCAGGUUGAAGGUUGGGUAACACUAACUGGAGGACCGAACCGACUAAUGUUGAAAAAUUAGCGGAUGACCUGUGGCUGGGGGUGAAAGGCCAAUCAAACCGGGAGAUAGCUGGUUCUCCCCGAAAGCUAUUUAGGUAGCGCCUCGUGAAUUCAUCUCCGGGGGUAGAGCACUGUUUCGGCUAGGGGGCCAUCCCGGCUUACCAACCCGAUGCAAACUGCGAAUACCGGAGAAUGUUAUCACGGGAGACACACGGCGGGUGCUAACGUCCGUCGUGAAGAGGGAAACAACCCAGACCGCCAGCUAAGGUCCCAAAGUCAUGGUUAAGUGGGAAACGAUGUGGGAAGGCCCAGACAGCCAGGAUGUUGGCUUAGAAGCAGCCAUCAUUUAAAGAAAGCGUAAUAGCUCACUGGUCGAGUCGGCCUGCGCGGAAGAUGUAACGGGGCUAAACCAUGCACCGAAGCUGCGGCAGCGACACUGUGUGUUGUUGGGUAGGGGAGCGUUCUGUAAGCCUGUGAAGGUGUGUCGUGAGGCAUGCUGGAGGUAUCAGAAGUGCGAAUGCUGACAUAAGUAACGAUAAAGCGGGUGAAAAGCCCGCUCGCCGGAAGACCAAGGGUUCCUGUCCAACGUUAAUCGGGGCAGGGUGAGUCGACCCCUAAGGCGAGGCCGAAAGGCGUAGUCGAUGGGAAACGGGUUAAUAUUCCCGUACUUGGUGUUACUGCGAAGGGGGGACGGAGAAGGCUAUGUUGGCCGGGCGACGGUUGUCCCGGUUUAAGCGUGUAGGUGUGUGUUCCAGGUAAAUCCGGUUCACUUUAACACUGAGGCGUGACGACGAGGCACUACGGUGCUGAAGCAACAAAUGCCCUGCUUCCAGGAAAAGCCUCUAAGCAUCAGGUAACAUCAAAUCGUACCCCAAACCGACACAGGUGGUCAGGUAGAGAAUACCAAGGCGCUUGAGAGAACUCGGGUGAAGGAACUAGGCAAAAUGGUGCCGUAACUUCGGGAGAAGGCACGCUGACACGUAGGUGAAGUGAUUUACUCAUGGAGCUGAAGUCAGUCGAAGAUACCAGCUGGCUGCAACUGUUUAUUAAAAACACAGCACUGUGCAAACACGAAAGUGGACGUAUACGGUGUGACGCCUGCCCGGUGCCGGAAGGUUAAUUGAUGGGGUCAGCGCAAGCGAAGCUCCUGAUCGAAGCCCCGGUAAACGGCGGCCGUAACUAUAACGGUCCUAAGGUAGCGAAAUUCCUUGUCGGGUAAGUUCCGACCUGCACGAAUGGCGUAAUGAUGGCCAGGCUGUCUCCACCCGAGACUCAGUGAAAUUGAACUCGCUGUGAAGAUGCAGUGUACCCGCGGCAAGACGGAAAGACCCCGUGAACCUUUACUAUAGCUUGACACUGAACAUUGAGCCUUGAUGUGUAGGAUAGGUGGGAGGCUUUGAAGUGUGGACGCCAGUCUGCAUGGAGCCGACCUUGAAAUACCACCCUUUAAUGUUUGAUGUUCUAACGUGGACCCGUUACCCGGGUUGCGGACAGUGUCUGGUGGGUAGUUUGACUGGGGCGGUCUCCUCCUAAAGAGUAACGGAGGAGCACGAAGGUUGGCUAAUCCUGGUCGGACAUCAGGAGGUUAGUGCAAUGGCAUAAGCCAGCUUGACUGCGAGCGUGACGGCGCGAGCAGGUGCGAAAGCAGGUCAUAGUGAUCCGGUGGUUCUGAAUGGAAGGGCCAUCGCUCAACGGAUAAAAGGUACUCCGGGGAUAACAGGCUGAUACCGCCCAAGAGUUCAUAUCGACGGCGGUGUUUGGCACCUCGAUGUCGGCUCAUCACAUCCUGGGGCUGAAGUAGGUCCCAAGGGUAUGGCUGUUCGCCAUUUAAAGUGGUACGCGAGCUGGGUUUAGAACGUCGUGAGACAGUUCGGUCCCUAUCUGCCGUGGGCGCUGGAGAACUGAGGGGGGCUGCUCCUAGUACGAGAGGACCGGAGUGGACGCAUCACUGGUGUUCGGGUUGUCAUGCCAAUGGCACUGCCCGGUAGCUAAAUGCGGAAGAGAUAAGUGCUGAAAGCAUCUAAGCACGAAACUUGCCCCGAGAUGAGUUCUCCCUGAGACUUAAAGUCUCCUGAAGGAACGUUGAAGACGACGACGUUGAUAGGCCGGGUGUGUAAGCGCAGCGAUGCGUUGAGCUAACCGGUACUAAUGAACCGUGAGGCUUAACCUUACAACGCCGAAG